Molecule: small nuclear RNA, 138 nt
Filed under: Tupaia belangeri chinensis (Chinese tree shrew)
Lineage: Eukaryota; Metazoa; Chordata; Mammalia; Scandentia; Tupaiidae
Description: Tupaia chinensis (Chinese tree shrew) U2 spliceosomal RNA
Rfam family: U2 spliceosomal RNA
About the family: U2 is a small nuclear RNA (snRNA) component of the spliceosome (involved in pre-mRNA splicing). Complementary binding between U2 snRNA (in an area lying towards the 5' end but 3' to hairpin I) and the branchpoint sequence (BPS) of the intron results the bulging out of an unpaired adenosine, on the BPS, which initiates a nucleophilic attack at the intronic 5' splice site, thus starting the first of two transesterification reactions that mediate splicing.
Source: Rfam by way of RNAcentral
AUCGCUUCUCAGCCUUUUGGCUAAGAUCAAGUGUAAAAGUAAUUUUAAUUUUUUUGGAGAAGUUUUUGCUAUAGGGCGCGUGCGCUCGCCAGACAGACAGAGAGAGACAUAGAGACAGAAAGCGAGAAAUCACCCCCA